Molecule: long non-coding RNA, 4375 nt
Filed under: Lepisosteus oculatus (spotted gar)
Lineage: Eukaryota; Metazoa; Chordata; Actinopteri; Semionotiformes; Lepisosteidae
Description: lncRNA (ENSLOCG00000022748.1)
Source: RNAcentral
AUGAUUCACCUAUCGGAUUCAGUGUUUACAAAUGUGAGUUUUUUUUACAAUGACUAUGGGUACAGUUGCCUGAAGCUGAUACUGUACAGUUUCAAACUGGUGAUUAGAAUUUGCAACAGAAACACUGCACAUAACAAGUCUACUGACACAUACUGCAGCAAUGUCUCCAGGACUGACAGUCCAGAUGUUUCCUCGGUCACUAAUAGUCAUGACUUGAAAUGUUAUUAUUAUUGCGAGAUUUAUCAUCUAAUUUCAAAUGGACCGCUCCAUACCUGUAUCUUCAGUAGUAUGGAAAAUGUGGGAAAAUGUUCUCAUCUAGAAGAUCUUUUAGAGGCUAACUUGCAUGAGUAUCAGAUUGAAUUUACUAUACUGUAUAUGUAAGAGAUAAGCUACAUGGAAUCCCUACAUGAAUUUGACAUCUUUUAGAAAUUAAAUAAAGGAAAUGUGGAACCGCAAACCUCAUUCUGGCUGUUCUUUUAGAGCAAUAUAAAAAGGGAAAACUUUUUAUCAGUGUUCCAUUUCACUGUAUAGCUUGAUAUGGAACUGGCAGAAAUACCAAAUGUGCUGAUUAAUAAAGCCCUUUAUGAACGUGUGCCUGAGGUAAGUUUUGGCUUCUGAUAUCAGCUGAAAUGGGCAGUAAGAACAAAUGUGUGGGUAGAUAUAAAACAGAGCACCAUACUGCUAGUUAAACCUUUAUCAAUAUACACAGGAAUAUAAAAUAAAGGUGAAAAUCAAGUUUGAAUUGGACACGCAUCUACUGAAUAUUUACUUUGAUACAAUAACCACCUACUUUUGACAAAACCCUUACACAUCUAACACCAAAACGCCAAACAACAUCUGGUAGCACAGCUAGAUCGGCCCGGUCUGUCUCAGGGAUCCUCCUUUCUAGUUCUCCAGAACCUUGACUUAUGGUUUUCACUUGAGCACCUUUUUAAGUUUUUUAAAGAAUGAGUAUUGCCAAUUGUUUUUUUAUGUAAAUCUCCAACUGGGGUCACUGCUGCGACUCUCGUAUCAGUACAGAGGGGAUUAGACUGAUCAUCGUGCAAGUUUGUUCACACUACAGUCCAACAGCAGGGUUAAACAUCAGAUGCAGGACUAUAAACUGUUGCAGCUUACAUUGAUAUCAGGCCAAUCCACUGCUAUGAGCAACACUGUCCAGUUCCUUGGCAAAUCUCUCUCAGCGUCACUUUAAAAUGUAGCCCAGAUUUAAGGCAUCAAUCUCUACAGGGCUUCUCAAACUGCAGAUCUUCCAGUCCACUUCAUUGCAUUCCUGUAUUGAGACCAAGUACUUAUUUCUAGAACUAAUUUCAAGCAUUUUAAUUUAACAACUUUAAUGUAACAGUUCAGUUGUUGUUUUGUGUUGGAUUUUUUUUUCUUUUGAUAUUUAUGCAUUAUAUUAAUAUCAGGAAAUCAAAGAACAAGAACUAGUAGCAGAAUACUGUUCAAUCUGUUCUGCCAUUGCUGGAUUAGUUGAUUGUUGAUUCCGUAUUAAAUGUCUAACCAGCUCUUGAACAGGCUGCUGAUUGAAGAUGUUCAGCCACUGGCGGGAAUUGAGAUGUAUGAAACAGUUCCAAAAUAAGCUUCACUGAAAUAAAAACCAGAAGACAUGGGGUUCUCAGAAGACUAAGACUGAGGAAUCCCAGUUCUACAGAAUCACUUUGCAUUUUUUCAGUUUGCACCAAUUGGUCAGCCUGUAGAUCACAGCCUUCUCCCUCCAUCCUAAUAUUUUGAACCCAGGCUUGUAUUACUCUAGUGUUCCGAGACCUGUGCUAACCAUGCAUGUGAUCGUUGACUGAGACCCUGCCUAUUCCGAUUUGUUAAACUAAAACCAUGUGACUAAGUCUAGUAGGAACAGUGAAUGAAACGUCCACAGCUAUUUUCGUCCAUUUCCUACAGAAGAUCACACUGUGUAGGGGAAGGGAGGUGGCACUGGCUGUAGUCAAACAUCAAGAAACAGCAGGUCAAUAUUUUCUGUUUUUUCAAUAGUAAAAUGGGGCAAAAAGCAACUAUUCAAGAGAACAGAGUCUUCUGGUUUUCUUUUGUGUCAAGUUCUCUUCUCCGUUGAGUCAGCUGUUGUGGCAGUUCCUCAAGAUUAAUGUGAGCACUGCUUUUAAUAAAUCAGUGAAGAAUGAUCAGGUUCUCCAGGACUAGACCCAAGAAUUACAGCUGUAGCUGUUCUGAUUACAAACAUACUUAUUGUAAGAGGAUGGGUUAACCAACACCUUGACCAUGAGUGCCAGUGUAGUGCAUAUAGCACGCGGUGAUCAUGUCUGACCAGGAUUUGAACCCUGUACCUUGUAAGCAUCUUACAGCACCCUAAAUUGCAAAUAACACUGUAGCAGAGCAGGGGUCUGCCAAAUUUAAAAGUAAGAGUCAACAUAAGAGACUUCAACACCAUUGGGGAGCUUGAGGAGGUGAUAUCACUGUACUAGUCUCAUCUUACUCAUGAUGAGACCUGUCACGUGUGUCUGCAGUGUUCACAGCCUCAAGCAGCAGCUCCGGCUGAGGUAGUACUCCUUCUGAAUAUGACUUCUGGGGUCUGCUCCCUUCCCCUCUCCUCUGAAUGGUCAACAGGAGAGGGGGAAAUACAUAUAUAGGGGUCAUCUGUAGAGAUUUCGUUCGCAUGAAAAACAGUAUUAACUGCAAAGCCUGCAACCCAAUGUCUUUCAGUGCCCAUUGUUUAGAAAAGGACUCUUGGUUUGGCUUCUGUCUUCCAUCGCCUUUACCUCCCAGCCAUUGUGAACUGAUUCCGUUUGGGAACCAUCUCCCAUGAGUUCAGGGAAAAUGAUCGUGCACCCACAAAAUGUUACUGUUUGAGAACAUUAGUAUGGUGCCGUUGGCUGCAUUUGUAGUCAUAACUGGUCAUGAGAAGGCUCUGUGUGCACAUUCAGAACAUCUGUAGAAUACAGGAGGACAGAAAGGAACACACUACAGGCCCCUUUGAGGGGGUCUCACCUCCAGCAUAGGGUGGAGACAGGAAAGGGGGAGUUACUAUCAUCUACGUUCAGAUACUACUGAAUAUUAUGAGCUUUCACAAUCCCAAGGAGAAUUAAAUCUAGGGUCAGAGAAGACUGAACUGCUUACUUCUAACACUUUCACUUUCCCCACAGGUACAUGGAAAGUCCUGGUCAGAAACAUCUUGGAUCUGUGAAGGAACAGGUGAGUGGAAUCCCAGCUGAUCUCUUCAUGUUAAUUGGUUGCCAGUUUAGAUCUCUGUACGCAAGUGCUGGGUCUUUUUAAAGUGCUAGGGUGCCUAUAUCGAUGGGAUAUGACUUUUGGAACAUUGAACUCUUCAGAUUUUCACUCACCAAGGCUAUUUGAUAUGAGGAAGUACAACCAUGUACUGUAUUUCCUUUUAAACAUACAACACGCACACUUCCCCUGGAAAAUCUGGAUAUUUGGUUUCUCUGUACAGGUCCCUCCACUCAUAAAAGGGGACAGUAUAGAACAGCAGAGAACAUGGCUGACUUCUGUGAGGAACGGAGCUGACUGUGAGGUUGUGUAGCUGCUCUUAAUGGAAGGAUCAAGAAAAAACACAAACUGCAGUAAAACAACAUACCACAUAACUAGCCAUUUUCAAGUUGGAAUCCAUUCCCCAGAUCUACAUUCUCCCCCCCCUCAUCCCGGCCAGAAAUGACACUCAAUGGGUCUGAGAAAGGGCCACACGAGGACUGGGGAGUCGCUGUGGCUGUGUGGGGCCUAUAGUGGGAGCCAAGCCAGUGCUCCCAGGAGCAGCAGGAGCAGCAGCAGAGGCAGAGUGCAUGAGAGCGGGCCCAGCCCUGGGGCUCUGCUGGGGCUGCACAGGUCAAAGAGGCUCCCCUGGAAGCGUAUCUUCUUGGAGUCUUCCUUCAGCGUCUCCCAGAUACGCCCCACCUCCUCCUGACACUCUGACAAGGCUGUGGUGGCACACAAGUGGAAUGCCUCCCAGUGGCUGAGAAGAGAAUAGCAAUCCAUAGUCAUCUAUUUAGAGCGGAGCACAAAAUCAGCAAUUGUUGUUGGCCCUGAGAUCUUAUUCUAUUCGUGGACAAUCAAAGCUGUUUAACACUGUUGUUAUUCCUCAUUGCACAUUGUUAUCAUUUCAAUGAGAGUAUUUUAUUUUCUAGAACAACAGUAGGCCUGUUAAGUGAUAUUUAUUGGGUACACAUCCACAGGGGCUCACUGAUCAUACUUUUCAAAUACAUGCGGAGUUUCACUCCUUGGAUUGAGAGUUGAUUUGAUUUCACUUCUAGAAAGAACACUGUGAUAAGGUACUAUCUCAUGCCCCACAGUGUUUGGUACAAGCCAGUAAAAAAUAAAGAAAUUGUGCACUUACCUGUUAGUUGAUUCAUAUUGUACAUUGCAACAGCAGGCCAGGAAAAUAAAACAUGGAGGAAAC